Sorghum bicolor (sorghum) is the source of this 284-nucleotide long non-coding RNA. RefSeq lists it as uncharacterized. The record is from RefSeq and is a predicted model, not a curated record. The transcript has 3 exons. Lineage: Eukaryota; Viridiplantae; Streptophyta; Magnoliopsida; Poales; Poaceae.
UAUUUGACUCGUUACAGGUACCGAACAAAAAGGGGUACAAGGCCUUCGAAGACUGCUUGAAAAACGCUUAUAGUGCAUAUCUCAAGGAUCCGCAAUGCUGGGAUCGGAGAACGGAGAAAUUCAAAAAGAGGCAUAAGCACCACCUCAAAAUCCGACGCGAUUUCCCCUGCGCCAAACAACCCUUGGGAUCAAAGGCAUGUGGCUUGUACACCUGCGAGAACCUAAGGGAAAGCAAGGAGUACACCAACAGCUGGAAGAAGCUCAAAGAAGCAGUGAAGAAUCGU